This 193-nucleotide small RNA is filed under the name Sphenodon punctatus (tuatara). RNAcentral describes it as "TUC338 (ENSSPUG00000005088.1)". The record is from RNAcentral. Lineage: Eukaryota; Metazoa; Chordata; Lepidosauria; Sphenodontia; Sphenodontidae.
UUGAUGACUUUGGGAGACUGAACUCCUCUCUUAAUCCCCAGACCAGGUACAGCUUGGAUAGUGGCAGUAAAAGCUCACCACAGAUAUCACUCUGUCUCUCAAUCUCUCACAUGACCAUAUGCCUUAACUCGGCCUACAAAAACCACCACCAGAAGGUAGGAUGGAUUCCAUGCCCAUUCAGGAUUUUUCCUCA